Molecule: ribosomal RNA, 415 nt
Filed under: uncultured bacterium
Lineage: Bacteria
Description: bacterial SSU rRNA
Rfam family: Bacterial small subunit ribosomal RNA
Source: RNAcentral
GGGCCCGCACAAGCGGUGGAGUAUGUGGUUUAAUUCGAUGCAACGCGAAGAACCUUACCAGGGUUUGACAUCCUGCGAAUCUCUUGGAAACGAGAGAGUGCCUUCGGGAACGCAGUGACAGGUGCUGCAUGGCUGUCGUCAGCUCGUGUCGUGAGAUGUUCCGUUAAGUCGGAUAACGAGCGCAACCCUUACCCUUAUUUGCCAGCAUUUAGUUGGGCACUCUAGAGAGACUGCCGGUGAUAAACCGGAGGAAGGUGUGGAUGACGUCAAGUCAUCAUGCCCCUUACAUCCUGGGCUACACACGUACUACAAUGCUACGGACAAAGGGCUGCAAGUUCGCGAGGACAAGCAAAUCCCAUAAACCGUGGCUCAGUUCAGAUCGUAGGCUGCAACUCGCCUACGUGAAGUUGGAAUC